GACGAACGCUGGCGGCGUGCCUAAUACAUGCAAGUCGAGCGAACUUGCGGGAGCUUGCUCCCAAAAGUUAGCGGCGGACGGGCGAGUAACACGUGGGCAACCUGCCUAUAAGACUGGGAUAACUUCGGGAAACCGGAGCUAAUACCGGAUAAUUCUUUUCUACACAUGUAGAAAAGCUGAAAGACGGUUUACGCUGUCACUUAUAGAUGGGCCCGCGGCGCAUUAGCUAGUUGGUGAGGUAACGGCUCACCAAGGCCACGAUGCGUAGCCGACCUGAGAGGGUGAUCGGCCACACUGGGACUGAGGCACGGCCCAGACUCCUACGGGAGGCAGCAGUAGGGAAUCUUCCGCAAUGGACGAAAGUCUGACGGAGCAACGCCGCGUGAGUGAUGAAGGUUUUCGGAUCGUAAAACUCUGUUGUUAGGGAAGAACAAGUACGAGAGUAACUGCUCGUACCUUGACGGUACCUAACCAGAAAGCCACGGCUAACUACGUGCCAGCCGCCGCAGUAA
Molecule: ribosomal RNA, 512 nt
Filed under: uncultured bacterium
Lineage: Bacteria
Description: partial 16S ribosomal RNA
Rfam family: Bacterial small subunit ribosomal RNA
Source: RNAcentral